GAUCCCCUUUAUAAUCAAGUCUCUUGUAAACCCUAAAAUGACUCCCUUAGUUGAGAUAUAUACUUCCCUGCUCCCAUAUCCACCCUUCCUUAACCUCUAGCUCCAAAUCUUAGAAUCUUGAGUCAUCAAAUAUAUACUUUUCUAGUUACCUGUUUGUUAAUACAUUUUCAUGAAACUCCAGUGCCCUUCAUGGAACUCCAGAUUAAAAGCAAUCUUUGUUAAAUUUUAAAAAUAAAUAACAGUAUAGGAAAAUGUAUUUUUUUUACUCUGUGACAUUUGGCCAAAAUGGCCACACUAGCUAGUCAGAAGCAAGCCUCCUAUAGGAAAGCUGCUCCUCCACCCCUGAUCAGAUCCUUUAAUCUACAAGUCCCACUCUGCCUCCAAACCCAGUUAUUCCCACAACCUCAGCAGCUCCCUGAGACACAGACAGUGACUGCACAGACUGGACCAAAGGGUGAGUGACCAGCACCCCAGCUGGACAGCCCAGUCUCUAGGCCCUGGGCUCCUCCCCCACUCAUCUCAGCCUCAUUAAUCCAUCAGCAGCAAGCCUCCUGCAGGCAAGCCACCGCACUCAUCAAAACUGUUACCUACAAGUCCCACUUCACCCCCAAACUAGUUAGAUGAGAUGAAUCUGGUUUUAAUUCCCAAGCAGUAAUUUUUCACAUAUAAUUGUAAUCAUUGCGAUUUCAUAUCUAGACACUGUAAGAAAAGCAGACUAAACUGUUCAUCCUAAUUCAGCCACUGCUUAGGUGCUUACAUGUUGUGAACUUCUAAAAGUAAACACUAGAAAGUAGAAAGAACAAUUAAUGUAUAUUUUGAUCAUUGAUAAGAGAAACACACUUGGGUUGGGUAUUGUGAUGGGAACAAAUGUGGAGAGAAGCGGGAAAAAUCUGGACAUAUGAAAUGGUAAAGACAGUGCUGUUGCUAUUAGAUUGGUUGGGAGAGGAGAAUGUGGAGCAUGUUUUCCACAGAGGUAGAAGUUUGAAUUAUAUAAUUUCAAGGCACAAAAAUGCUUCUCCAGGGGCUCAUUGGUAAUUCCACCUUAUUAAGUUUGUGGUCCUCAUCACACAAAUGGUAAGAGCAUGUGAAAAAAGUGAGAGCAGUGUUAAUAACAUCGUCAACCCAUCUAUGUUUCUGUUUCACAUUUUCCAGGCACAACUGGGGACUGGAAGAAUCAUUUCACAGUAGCCCAAGCUGAAUCUUUCAAUAAAGUAUUCCACAAUAAAAUGCUGACUUUUCCCUCUAGGACUGUUCCCAUGGAAAAAAGUUUUUAAAACUUUUAGGUAUCAUAUGAAUACUGGUGUUUAUUUUCCUGUCAGUUUACAUGUGAAUGACUGGGAGUGGUCAUAGAAUAAAUCUUGUUAUUUAAUUGUGAGACUUUUUUGUAAUGAUAGCAGUAGUAGUAGUAGUAGUAGUAGUGAUAGUAGUAGCAGAAGAAGUAAUGUGUCUGUUUGUAGUGCCUUCAGAGGCACAAAAGAGUACAUUGGUUUCCAUGGAGUUGAAGAUACAUGUUGUGCUCAGCUUCCUGCUUUGUAUCCUUGGAACUGAAUUCAGAUUCUCUACAAGGGUAGUGCAAUGCUCUUGACCUCUGAAUCAUCUCUCUAGGACCAAAUCUUGGAGUCUUAAGUCAUCAAAUAUUUGCUUCUUUUACUACUGGUUUGUUAUACAUUACCAGCUAACACAAAUUAACUUCACAGAAUUUCAGUUUAAGAACAUUCUUUGUAAUAUUUUAAACAUAAAAAAACUCUAAUGGAAAAUGUAUUAUCUAAAGCUGUCAAAUUUUUAAUGUAUAGCAUAAAAUCUAGAUUCAUGUAAGAUUCCUUUUCAUAAAAUCAUGGGUUUUCUUAGUUGAUGCUGUUCUGUCAUGAGAAAUAGUUUUGUUUUCUUUGUGACAUUCAGAGAAAAACAAAACAAAUGUUAUAUAUAGACUUUGAAAUCUAAUACAAAUAGCAUAUGGUAUUAGACUUUUAUAAGCUCA
This is a non-coding RNA of Myodes glareolus (Bank vole), 1978 nucleotides long. Lineage: Eukaryota; Metazoa; Chordata; Mammalia; Rodentia; Cricetidae. The record is from RefSeq and is a predicted model, not a curated record.